Molecule: ribosomal RNA, 332 nt
Filed under: uncultured bacterium
Lineage: Bacteria
Description: bacterial SSU rRNA
Rfam family: Bacterial small subunit ribosomal RNA
Source: RNAcentral
CGCGUAGGCGGGAUGGCAAGUCGGUCGUGAAAUCCUUCGGCUCAACCGAAGAACGUCGGCCGAAACUGCCAUUCUUGAGGGAUGCAGAGGAGACUGGAAUUCCCGGUGUAGCGAUGAAAUGUGUAGAGAUCGGGAGGAACACCGGUGGCGAAGGCGGGUCUCUGGGCAUCUCCUGACGCUGAGGCGCGAAAGCGUGGGGAGCAAACGGGAUUAGAUACCCCGGUAGUCCACGCUGUAAACGAUGACGACUAGGUGUGGGGUGGUUCAGUCCACUCCGUGCCGCAGCUAACGCAUUAAGUCGUCCGCCUGGGGAGUACGGCCGCAAGGUUGAA